GACUGAAAUGAGACGAAUUUACACCCCUUAUCGAGGAUCCAUUGGAGGGCAAGUCUGGUGCCAGCAGCCGCGGUAAUUCCAGCUCCAAUAGCGUAUGUUAAAGUUGUUGCAGUUAAAAAGCUCGUAGUUGGAUUUCUGGCAGGAGUGACCGGUCACGCACUCUGUGCGUGAACUUGUGUUGUCUCUGGCCAUCCUUGGGGAGAUCCUAUUUGGCAUUAAGUUGUCGGGUAGGGGAUACCCAUCGUUUACUGUGAAAAAAUUAGAGUGUUUAAAGCAGGCUUAUGCCGUUGAAUAUAUUAGCAUGGAAUAAUAAGAUAGGACUUCGGAACUAUUUUGUUGGUUUGCGUUACGAAGUAAUGAUUAAUAGGGACAGUUGGGGGUAUUCGUAUUUCAUUGUCAGAGGUGAAAUUCUUGGAUUUCUGAAAGACGAACUACUGCGAAAGCAUAUACCAAGGAUGUUUUCAUUAAUCAAGAACGAAAGUUAGGGGAUCGAAGAUGAUUAGAUACCAUCGUAGUCUUAACCAUAAACUAUGCCGACUCGGGAUCGGAG
RNAcentral lists this ribosomal RNA (550 nucleotides) under uncultured diatom. RNAcentral's name for it is "SSU rRNA". It matches the Rfam family "Eukaryotic small subunit ribosomal RNA", at positions 507 to 1058 of the family's 1831-position model. Lineage: Eukaryota; Bacillariophyta. The record is from RNAcentral.